UAAGCGACUAAGCGUACACGGUGGAUGCCCUGGCAGUCAGAGGCGAUGAAGGACGUGCUAAUCUGCGAUAAGCGUCGGUAAGGUGAUAUGAACCGUUAUAACCGGCGAUUUCCGAAUGGGGAAACCCAGUGUGAUUCGUCACACUAUCAUUAACUGAAUCCAUAGGUUAAUGAGGCGAACCGGGGGAACUGAAACAUCUAAGUACCCCGAGGAAAAGAAAUCAACCGAGAUUCCCCCAGUAGCGGCGAGCGAACGGGGAGGAGCCCAGAGCCUGAAUCAGUGUGUGUGUUAGUGGAAGCGUCUGGAAAGGCGCGCGAUACAGGGUGACAGCCCCGUACACAAAAAUAGCACAUACUGUGAGCUCGAUGAGUAGGGCGGGACACGUGGUAUCCUGUCUGAAUAUGGGGGGACCAUCCUCCAAGGCUAAAUACUCCUGACUGACCGAUAGUGAACCAGUACCGUGAGGGAAAGGCGAAAAGAACCCCGGCGAGGGGAGUGAAAAAGAACCUGAAACCGUGUACGUACAAGCAGUGGGAGCCUCUUUUAUGGGGUGACUGCGUACCUUUUGUAUAAUGGGUCAGCGACUUAUAUUCUGUAGCAAGGUUAACCGAAUAGGGGAGCCGAAGGGAAACCGAGUCUUAACCGGGCGUUAAGUUGCAGGGUAUAGACCCGAAACCCGGUGAUCUAGCCAUGGGCAGGUUGAAGGUUGGGUAACACUAACUGGAGGACCGAACCGACUAAUGUUGAAAAAUUAGCGGAUGACUUGUGGCUGGGGGUGAAAGGCCAAUCAAACCGGGAGAUAGCUGGUUCUCCCCGAAAGCUAUUUAGGUAGCGCCUCGUGAAUUCAUCUCCGGGGGUAGAGCACUGUUUCGGCAAGGGGGUCAUCCCGACUUACCAACCCGAUGCAAACUGCGAAUACCGGAGAAUGUUAUCACGGGAGACACACGGCGGGUGCUAACGUCCGUCGUGAAGAGGGAAACAACCCAGACCGCCAGCUAAGGUCCCAAAGUCAUGGUUAAGUGGGAAACGAUGUGGGAAGGCCCAGACAGCCAGGAUGUUGGCUUAGAAGCAGCCAUCAUUUAAAGAAAGCGUAAUAGCUCACUGGUCGAGUCGGCCUGCGCGGAAGAUGUAACGGGGCUAAACCAUGCACCGAAGCUGCGGCAGCGACACUGUGUGUUGUUGGGUAGGGGAGCGUUCUGUAAGCCUGUGAAGGUGUACUGUGAGGUAUGCUGGAGGUAUCAGAAGUGCGAAUGCUGACAUAAGUAACGAUAAAGCGGGUGAAAAGCCCGCUCGCCGGAAGACCAAGGGUUCCUGUCCAACGUUAAUCGGGGCAGGGUGAGUCGACCCCUAAGGCGAGGCCGAAAGGCGUAGUCGAUGGGAAACAGGUUAAUAUUCCUGUACUUGGUGUUACUGCGAAGGGGGGACGGAGAAGGCUAUGUUGGCCGGGCGACGGUUGUCCCGGUUUAAGCGUGUAGGCUGGUUUUCCAGGCAAAUCCGGAAAAUCAAGGCUGAGGCGUGAUGACGAGGCACUACGGUGCUGAAGCAACAAAUGCCCUGCUUCCAGGAAAAGCCUCUAAGCAUCAGGUAACAUCAAAUCGUACCCCAAACCGACACAGGUGGUCAGGUAGAGAAUACCAAGGCGCUUGAGAGAACUCGGGUGAAGGAACUAGGCAAAAUGGUGCCGUAACUUCGGGAGAAGGCACGCUGAUAUGUAGGUGAAGUCCCUCGCGGAUGGAGCUGAAAUCAGUCGAAGAUACCAGCUGGCUGCAACUGUUUAUUAAAAACACAGCACUGUGCAAACACGAAAGUGGACGUAUACGGUGUGACGCCUGCCCGGUGCCGGAAGGUUAAUUGAUGGGGUCAGCGCAAGCGAAGCUCUUGAUCGAAGCCCCGGUAAACGGCGGCCGUAACUAUAACGGUCCUAAGGUAGCGAAAUUCCUUGUCGGGUAAGUUCCGACCUGCACGAAUGGCGUAAUGAUGGCCAGGCUGUCUCCACCCGAGACUCAGUGAAAUUGAACUCGCUGUGAAGAUGCAGUGUACCCGCGGCAAGACGGAAAGACCCCGUGAACCUUUACUAUAGCUUGACACUGAACAUUGAGCCUUGAUGUGUAGGAUAGGUGGGAGGCUUUGAAGUGUGGACGCCAGUCUGCAUGGAGCCGACCUUGAAAUACCACCCUUUAAUGUUUGAUGUUCUAACGUGGACCCGUGAUCCGGGUUGCGGACAGUGUCUGGUGGGUAGUUUGGCUGGGGCGGUCUCCUCCUAAAGAGUAACGGAGGAGCACGAAGGUUGGCUAAUCCUGGUCGGACAUCAGGAGGUUAGUGCAAUGGCAUAAGCCAGCUUGACUGCGAGCGUGACGGCGCGAGCAGGUGCGAAAGCAGGUCAUAGUGAUCCGGUGGUUCUGAAUGGAAGGGCCAUCGCUCAACGGAUAAAAGGUACUCCGGGGAUAACAGGCUGAUACCGCCCAAGAGUUCAUAUCGACGGCGGUGUUUGGCACCUCGAUGUCGGCUCAUCACAUCCUGGGGCUGAAGUAGGUCCCAAGGGUAUGGCUGUUCGCCAUUUAAAGUGGUACGCGAGCUGGGUUUAGAACGUCGUGAGACAGUUCGGUCCCUAUCUGCCGUGGGCGCUGGAGAACUGAGGGGGGCUGCUCCUAGUACGAGAGGACCGGAGUGGACGCAUCACUGGUGUUCGGGUUGUCAUGCCAAUGGCACUGCCCGGUAGCUAAAUGCGGAAGAGAUAAGUGCUGAAAGCAUCUAAGCACGAAACUUGCCCCGAGAUGAGUUCUCCCUGACCCUUUAAGGGUCCUGAAGGAACGUUGAAGACGACGACGUUGAUAGGCCGGGUGUGUAAGCGCAGCGAUGCGUUGAGCUAACCGGUACUAAUGAACCGUGAGGCUUAACCU
This 2900-nucleotide ribosomal RNA is filed under the name Escherichia coli TW10246. RNAcentral describes it as "bacterial LSU rRNA". It matches the Rfam family "Bacterial large subunit ribosomal RNA". Lineage: Bacteria; Pseudomonadati; Pseudomonadota; Gammaproteobacteria; Enterobacterales; Enterobacteriaceae. The record is from RNAcentral.